AAUUCCGCCGCCUCUUUCACGGCAGGAGACAAGUUGCAUUUCCUUCUGCGGAACCCGAUUUCUCAGUUCGUCAUGCGCAACAGCGGCCGCGUCAUCGGGUGGGCGAAGGCCGACGGCCACUCGUGUACCAGCUAUGCAGAAUUCCGGGACGGCUAGGCCUACUGCAUUAUUUCUCUCUUCGGCGUGGUUUCCGUGAGCGAAGGCGUCACGGGAACGCUUCAAGGAGGCGUUACGCACGAACAGCAUGCGGUCAUCGUUGGGAAAUUCCUAAUUAAAAUACUGUCAUAACUCAGUGUCUCAUGGCCCAAAGAGCCACUUUCGUCUCACAACUUCAUUAAUACAGAGAAGAACCACCUCCAAGGGAACUGAUAGCAGUGCAUUUCCUUACUAACUGCCACUUGGAGCUGUUGAAGGCAUGAAUGACUUGGUGAGAAAGUGUGUUAAACCUCAUUAAAAGCGUGAAAGUGCAUGUGUGAAAUACUAGACAUUGAAAAAGUGAAAUUUUCUGCCUGACAAUGAACCACAAUGAACUUUUUGCAACCCAGAUCAUUUAUUCUUUAAAGCAAGACAGGGCUUGCAUAAAGUUAUAUGUAUCUUAGAAUGCAAUCUUUGUUUUCCCUAAAAAAGGAUGUCCCUUAUGAUGAAGAUGUCUAAUU
This is a long non-coding RNA of Schistocerca gregaria, 656 nucleotides long. RefSeq lists it as uncharacterized. NCBI's taxonomy places the organism in Eukaryota, Metazoa, Arthropoda, Insecta, Orthoptera, Acrididae. The transcript has 2 exons. The record is from RefSeq and is a predicted model, not a curated record.